RNAcentral lists this ribosomal RNA (2320 nucleotides) under Salmonella enterica subsp. enterica serovar Napoli. Its description in RNAcentral is "partial 23S ribosomal RNA". It matches the Rfam family "Bacterial large subunit ribosomal RNA". The record is from RNAcentral. Lineage: Bacteria; Pseudomonadati; Pseudomonadota; Gammaproteobacteria; Enterobacterales; Enterobacteriaceae.
GAAAGCGACGUUCAACCUCAAAAGAAGCAGAGGGGGCUUAGUGGUGGGGUGACUGCGUACCUUUUGUAUAAUGGGUCAGCGACUUAUAUUCUGUAGCAAGGUUAACCGUAUAGGGGAGCCGGAGGGAAACCGAGUCUUAACCGGGCGUUAAGUUGCAGGGUAUAGACCCGAAACCCGGUGAUCUAGCCAUGGGCAGGUUGAAGGUUGGGUAACACUAACUGGAGGACCGAACCGACUAAUGUUGAAAAAUUAGCGGAUGACCUGUGGCUGGGGGUGAAAGGCCAAUCAAACCGGGAGAUAGCUGGUUCUCCCCGAAAGCUAUUUAGGUAGCGCCUCGUGAACUCAUCUCCGGGGGUAGAGCACUGUUUCGGCUAGGGGGCCAUCCCGGCUUACCAACCCGAUGCAAACUGCGAAUACCGGAGAAUGUUAUCACGGGAGACACACGGCGGGUGCUAACGUCCGUCGUGAAGAGGGAAACAACCCAGACCGCCAGCUAAGGUCCCAAAGUCAUGGUUAAGUGGGAAACGAUGUGGGAAGGCCCAGACAGCCAGGAUGUUGGCUUAGAAGCAGCCAUCAUUUAAAGAAAGCGUAAUAGCUCACUGGUCGAGUCGGCCUGCGCGGAAGAUGUAACGGGGCUAAACCAUGCACCGAAGCUGCGGCAGCGACAUUUAGGUGUUGUUGGGUAGGGGAGCGUUCUGUAAGCCUGUGAAGGUGGCCUGUGAGGGUUGCUGGAGGUAUCAGAAGUGCGAAUGCUGACAUAAGUAACGAUAAAGCGGGUGAAAAGCCCGCUCGCCGGAAGACCAAGGGUUCCUGUCCAACGUUAAUCGGGGCAGGGUGAGUCGACCCCUAAGGCGAGGCCGAAAGGCGUAGUCGAUGGGAAACGGGUUAAUAUUCCCGUACUUGGUGUUACUGCGAAGGGGGGACGGAGAAGGCUAUGUUGGCCGGGCGACGGUUGUCCCGGUUUAAGCGUGUAGGUGUGUGUUCCAGGUAAAUCCGGUUCACUUUAACACUGAGGCGUGAUGACGAGGCACUACGGUGCUGAAGCAACAAAUGCCCUGCUUCCAGGAAAAGCCUCUAAGCAUCAGGUAACAUCAAAUCGUACCCCAAACCGACACAGGUGGUCAGGUAGAGAAUACCAAGGCGCUUGAGAGAACUCGGGUGAAGGAACUAGGCAAAAUGGUGCCGUAACUUCGGGAGAAGGCACGCUGACACGUAGGUGAAGUGAUUUACUCAUGGAGCUGAAGUCAGUCGAAGAUACCAGCUGGCUGCAACUGUUUAUUAAAAACACAGCACUGUGCAAACACGAAAGUGGACGUAUACGGUGUGACGCCUGCCCGGUGCCGGAAGGUUAAUUGAUGGGGUCAGCGCAAGCGAAGCUCCUGAUCGAAGCCCCGGUAAACGGCGGCCGUAACUAUAACGGUCCUAAGGUAGCGAAAUUCCUUGUCGGGUAAGUUCCGACCUGCACGAAUGGCGUAAUGAUGGCCAGGCUGUCUCCACCCGAGACUCAGUGAAAUUGAACUCGCUGUGAAGAUGCAGUGUACCCGCGGCAAGACGGAAAGACCCCGUGAACCUUUACUAUAGCUUGACACUGAACAUUGAGCCUUGAUGUGUAGGAUAGGUGGGAGGCUUUGAAGCGUGGACGCCAGUCUGCGUGGAGCCGACCUUGAAAUACCACCCUUUAAUGUUUGAUGUUCUAACGUGGACCCGUAAUCCGGGUUGCGGACAGUGUCUGGUGGGUAGUUUGACUGGGGCGGUCUCCUCCUAAAGAGUAACGGAGGAGCACGAAGGUUGGCUAAUCCUGGUCGGACAUCAGGAGGUUAGUGCAAUGGCAUAAGCCAGCUUGACUGCGAGCGUGACGGCGCGAGCAGGUGCGAAAGCAGGUCAUAGUGAUCCGGUGGUUCUGAAUGGAAGGGCCAUCGCUCAACGGAUAAAAGGUACUCCGGGGAUAACAGGCUGAUACCGCCCAAGAGUUCAUAUCGACGGCGGUGUUUGGCACCUCGAUGUCGGCUCAUCACAUCCUGGGGCUGAAGUAGGUCCCAAGGGUAUGGCUGUUCGCCAUUUAAAGUGGUACGCGAGCUGGGUUUAGAACGUCGUGAGACAGUUCGGUCCCUAUCUGCCGUGGGCGCUGGAGAACUGAGGGGGGCUGCUCCUAGUACGAGAGGACCGGAGUGGACGCAUCACUGGUGUUCGGGUUGUCAUGCCAAUGGCACUGCCCGGUAGCUAAAUGCGGAAGAGAUAAGUGCUGAAAGCAUCUAAGCACGAAACUUGCCCCGAGAUGAGUUCUCCCUGAGACUUUAGGUCUCCUGAAGGAACGUUGAAG